This 26-nucleotide non-coding RNA is filed under the name Cricetulus griseus (Chinese hamster). The record is from RNAcentral. Lineage: Eukaryota; Metazoa; Chordata; Mammalia; Rodentia; Cricetidae.
ACAUCUGACAUCAACCUCUGUUCUCC